CCUACGGGCGGCAGCAGUGGGGAAUCUUCCGCAAUGGGCGAAAGCCUGACGGAGCAACGCCGCGUGAUCGAAUGAAGGCCUUCGGGUUGUAAAGAUCUGUUGACAGGGACGAAUAAGCCAUGCGAAUAGUUUGGUGUAUGACGGUACCUGUUUAGAAAGCUCCGGCUAACUACGUGACAGCAGCCGCGGUAAUACGUAGGGAGCAAGCGUUGUCCGGAAUUACUGGGCGUAAAGGGCGCGUGGGUGGGUGGUUAAGUCAGGUGUGAAAUCUCUGGGCUCAACGUGGAUACUGCACUUGACACUGGGUAUCUUGAGGGCAGGAGAGGAAAGUGGAAUUCCUAGUGUAGCGGUGAAAUGCGUAGAUAUUAGGAGGAACACCAGUGGCGAAGGCGACUUUCUGGACUGUACCUGACGCUGAGGCGCGAAAGCGUGGGUAGCGAACGGGAUUAGAUACCCUAGUAGUC
RNAcentral lists this ribosomal RNA (464 nucleotides) under uncultured bacterium. Its description in RNAcentral is "partial 16S ribosomal RNA". It matches the Rfam family "Bacterial small subunit ribosomal RNA", at positions 338 to 795 of the family's 1533-position model. The record is from RNAcentral.